CCCUUAGAUGUUCUGGGCCGCACGCGCGCUACACUGACGAAUGCAACGAGCUUAUAACCUUGGCCGAAAGGUCUGGGUAAUCUCCAAAUUUCGUCGUGAUGGGGAUAGAUUAUUGCAAUUAUUAAUCUUCAACGAGGAAUGCCUAGUAAGCGCAAGUCAUCAGCUUGCGUUGAUUACGUCCCUGCCCUUUGUACACACCGCCCGUCGCUCCUACCGAUUGAAUGGUCCGGUGAAGCGUUCGGACCGUGGCCUUUGGACGGUUCGCCGUGUGUUGGCUGCGGGAAGUUCGUUAAACCUUAUCAUUUAGAGGAAGGAGAAGUCGUAACA
This 327-nucleotide ribosomal RNA is filed under the name uncultured eukaryote. RNAcentral describes it as "partial 18S ribosomal RNA". It matches the Rfam family "Eukaryotic small subunit ribosomal RNA", at positions 1470 to 1796 of the family's 1831-position model. The record is from RNAcentral.